CACGUAGGGGGCAAGCGUUGUCCGGAAUUACUGGGCGUAAAGGGCGUGUAGGCGGUCUAUUAAGUCAGUGGUGAAAAUCCAGGGCUCAACCCUGGACUUGCCAUUGAAACUGGAAGACUUGAGGGCAGGAGAGGUAAGUGGAAUUCCUAGUGUAGCGGUGAAAUGCGUAGAUAUUAGGAAGAACACCAGUGGCGAAGGCGACUUACUGGCCUGACCCUGACGCUGAGGCGCGAAAGCGUGGGGAGCAAAC
Molecule: ribosomal RNA, 250 nt
Filed under: uncultured bacterium
Lineage: Bacteria
Description: partial 16S ribosomal RNA
Rfam family: Bacterial small subunit ribosomal RNA
Source: RNAcentral